ACUAAGCGUACACGGUGGAUGCCUGGGCAGUCAGAGGCGAUGAAGGACGUACUAACUUGCGAUAAGCGCAGAUAAGGCAGUAAGAGCCGUUUGAGUCUGCGAUUUCCGAAUGGGGAAACCCAACUGCAUAAGCAGUUACUGUUAACUGAAUACAUAGGUUAACAGAGCAAACCGGGGGAACUGAAACAUCUAAGUACCCCGAGGAGAAGAAAUCAACCGAGAUUCCGGUAGUAGCGGCGAGCGAACCUGGAUUAGCCCUUAAGCACUCGGUGAAGUAGGUGAACAAGCUGGAAAGCUUGGCGAUACAGGGUGAUAGCCCCGUAACCGACGCUUCAUCGAGCGUGAAAUCGAGUAGGGCGGGACACGUGAUAUCCUGUCUGAAUAUGGGGGGACCAUCCUCCAAGGCUAAAUACUCCUGACUGACCGAUAGUGAACCAGUACCGUGAGGGAAAGGCGAAAAGAACCCCUGUGAGGGGAGUGAAAUAGAACCUGAAACCGUGUACGUACAAGCAGUAGGAGCACCUUCGUGGUGUGACUGCGUACCUUUUGUAUAAUGGGUCAGCGACUUAUAUUCAGUGGCAAGGUUAACCGUAUAGGGGAGCCGUAGCGAAAGCGAGUCUUAACUGGGCGCUCAGUCUCUGGAUAUAGACCCGAAACCGGGUGAUCUAGCCAUGGGCAGGUUGAAGGUUGAGUAACAUCAACUGGAGGACCGAACCGACUAAUGUUGAAAAAUUAGCGGAUGACUUGUGGCUAGGGGUGAAAGGCCAAUCAAACUCGGAGAUAGCUGGUUCUCCCCGAAAGCUAUUUAGGUAGCGCCUCGGACGAAUACUACUGGGGGUAGAGCACUGUUAAGGCUAGGGGGUCAUCCCGACUUACCAACCCUUUGCAAACUCCGAAUACCAGUAAGUACUAUCCGGGAGACACACGGCGGGUGCUAACGUCCGUCGUGGAGAGGGAAACAACCCAGACCGCCAGCUAAGGUCCCAAAGUAUUGCUAAGUGGGAAACGAUGUGGGAAGGCUCAGACAGCUAGGAUGUUGGCUUAGAAGCAGCCAUCAUUUAAAGAAAGCGUAAUAGCUCACUAGUCGAGUCGGCCUGCGCGGAAGAUGUAACGGGGCUAAGCAAUACACCGAAGCUGCGGCAAUGUCUUUUAGACAUUGGGUAGGGGAGCGUUCUGUAAGCCGUUGAAGGUGAAUCGUAAGGUUUGCUGGAGGUAUCAGAAGUGCGAAUGCUGACAUGAGUAACGACAAAGGGGGUGAAAAACCUCCUCGCCGGAAGACCAAGGGUUCCUGUCCAACGUUAAUCGGGGCAGGGUGAGUCGACCCCUAAGGUGAGGCCGAAAGGCGUAAUCGAUGGGAAACGGGUUAAUAUUCCCGUACUUCUGACUAUUGCGAUGGGGGGACGGAGAAGGCUAGGUGGGCCAGGCGACGGUUGUCCUGGUUCAAGUGCGUAGGCUUGAGAGUUAGGUAAAUCCGGCUCUCUCUAAGGCUGAGACACGACGUCGAGCUACUACGGUAGUGAAGUCAUUGAUGCCAUGCUUCCAGGAAAAGCCUCUAAGCUUCAGAUAGUCAGGAAUCGUACCCCAAACCGACACAGGUGGUCGGGUAGAGAAUACCAAGGCGCUUGAGAGAACUCGGGUGAAGGAACUAGGCAAAAUGGUACCGUAACUUCGGGAGAAGGUACGCUCUUGAUGGUGAAGUCCCUCGCGGAUGGAGCUGACGAGAGUCGCAGAUACCAGGUGGCUGCAACUGUUUAUUAAAAACACAGCACUGUGCAAAAUCGCAAGAUGACGUAUACGGUGUGACGCCUGCCCGGUGCCGGAAGGUUAAUUGAUGGGGUUAGCGCAAGCGAAGCUCUUGAUCGAAGCCCCGGUAAACGGCGGCCGUAACUAUAACGGUCCUAAGGUAGCGAAAUUCCUUGUCGGGUAAGUUCCGACCUGCACGAAUGGCGUAAUGAUGGCCACGCUGUCUCCACCCGAGACUCAGUGAAAUUGAAAUCGCUGUGAAGAUGCAGUGUACCCGCGGCUAGACGGAAAGACCCCGUGAACCUUUACUACAGCUUGGCACUGAACAUUGAACCUACAUGUGUAGGAUAGGUGGGAGGCUAUGAAGACGUGACGCCAGUUGCGUUGGAGCCGUCCUUGAAAUACCACCCUUGUAUGUUUGAUGUUCUAACUUAGACCCNGUGGCUUUCGGAGCUAACGCGUUAAGUAGACCGCCUGGGGAGUACGGUCGCAAGAUUAAAACUCAAAUGAAUUGACGGGGGCCCGCACAAGCGGUGGAGCAUGUGGUUUAAUUCGAUGCAACGCGAAGAACCUUACCUACUCUUGACAUCCAGAGAAUCUAGCGGAGACGCUGGAGUGCCUUCGGGAGCUCUGAGACAGGUGCUGCAUGGCUGUCGUCAGCUCGUGUUGUGAAAUGUUGGGUUAAGUCCCGCAACGAGCGCAACCCUUAUCCUUGUUUGCCAGCACGUAAUGGUGGGAACUCCAGGGAGACUGCCGGUGAUAAACCGGAGGAAGGUGGGGACGACGUCAAGUCAUCAUGGCCCUUACGAGUAGGGCUACACACGUGCUACAAUGGCGUAUACAGAGGGCAGCGAUACCGCGAGGUGGAGCGAAUCUCACAAAGUACGUCGUAGUCCGGAUUGG
This 2646-nucleotide ribosomal RNA is filed under the name Vibrio cholerae. RNAcentral describes it as "bacterial LSU rRNA". It matches the Rfam family "Bacterial large subunit ribosomal RNA", at positions 1 to 2335 of the family's 2925-position model. The record is from RNAcentral. Lineage: Bacteria; Pseudomonadati; Pseudomonadota; Gammaproteobacteria; Vibrionales; Vibrionaceae.